RNAcentral lists this non-coding RNA (30 nucleotides) under Homo sapiens (human). The record is from RNAcentral. Lineage: Eukaryota; Metazoa; Chordata; Mammalia; Primates; Hominidae.
AGAGUCUUCUGUGGACCUGAGAGUCUGGGU